GUGCUCGCUUCGGCAGCACAUAUACUAAAAUUGGAAUGAUACAGAGAAGAUUAGCAUGGCCCCUGUGCAAGGAUGACAUGCAAAUUUGUGAAGCGUUCCAUAUUUAU
RNAcentral lists this small nuclear RNA (107 nucleotides) under Aotus nancymaae (Ma's night monkey). The record is from RNAcentral. Lineage: Eukaryota; Metazoa; Chordata; Mammalia; Primates; Aotidae.